AAGAUAUUAGUAAAGUAAAUUACACCAUCUUGUCAAGAUGGAAUCACAAGUUAAACUCUUGUAUAUCUUA
Molecule: transfer RNA, 70 nt
Filed under: Devario interruptus
Lineage: Eukaryota; Metazoa; Chordata; Actinopteri; Cypriniformes; Danionidae
Description: tRNA-Asp
Rfam family: tRNA
About the family: Transfer RNA (tRNA) molecules are approximately 80 nucleotides in length.
Source: RNAcentral